GAAUUGACGGGGGCCCGCACAAGCAGUGGAGUAUGUGGUUUAAUUCGAAGCAACGCGAAGAACCUUACCAGGUCUUGACAUCCUAGGAAUCCUUCAGAGAUGAGGGAGUGCCCUUCGGGGAAUCUAGAGACAGGUGGUGCAUGGUUGUCGUCAGCUCGUGUCGUGAGAUGUUGGGUUAAGUCCCGCAACGAGCGCAACCCUUAUCAUUAGUUGCUACGCAAGAGCACUCUAGUGAGACUGCCGUUGACAAAACGGAGGAAGGUGGGGAUGACGUCAAAUCAUCAUGCCCCUUAUGACCUGGGCUACACACGUACUACAAUGGCAAUUAACAGAGGGAAGCAAGACCGUGAGGUGGAGCAAAUCCCUAAAAAUUGUCUCAGUUCGGAUUGUAGGCUGCAACUCGCCUACAUGAAGUCGGAAUUGCUAGUAAUCGCAGAUCAGCAUGCUGCGGUGAAUACGUUCCCGGGCCUUGUACACACCG
Molecule: ribosomal RNA, 481 nt
Filed under: uncultured Ruminococcus sp.
Lineage: Bacteria; Bacillati; Bacillota; Clostridia; Eubacteriales; Oscillospiraceae
Description: bacterial SSU rRNA
Rfam family: Bacterial small subunit ribosomal RNA
Source: RNAcentral